This 642-nucleotide small RNA is filed under the name Drosophila yakuba. RNAcentral describes it as "GE28584". The record is from RNAcentral. Lineage: Eukaryota; Metazoa; Arthropoda; Insecta; Diptera; Drosophilidae.
AAAACAAAAAAAAGCCCUUGUAUACUCGGCAGUACAUAUACGUAUGUACUACUUAAAAGAAUGGAAACUUUGAACACGACCAAAAUCCCACUAAGUUAGCCAGGUCUCUCCAUGCUCUCCAUGUUCUGCGGGCUCACCGACAGGGUUCAGCUGCACCAGGUGUGCCCGUGCCCGGGUGGUUUCAACCUUUCGUUUUCCAGCCCCGAAACCGGAAUCUACGAUUGAAUUUCAGACAGUAUACCCAGACACCCAACCACCCAAAUGCCAUCCGGCGGCCAAGGAAAACGCAGAGGCUUUUGCAAUUUUUAUGUGCAAUUUUUUACAUGAGAACCAAAGGCGGUACGAAGUGUCGCUUGUGGCUCGUUAAGGUUAAGGGGUGGAGGGUGUUCUUUAUCUGGAGAGGUGUGGGCUAGCUGUUGGAAUACCACUGAUAACCGAGGAGUGGAUUAGUCUCUGGUUAUCGUUUGCAGCGGGUACAUGGCACCCAUUUAACAAAGAUUAACGAUAAUUAUUUUAUAGAAAAAUGUAAGAUGCCUUCUCUAGGGAGAAAUCAACCAGUGAUAGUCAACAAUUUAAAACCGUCAAAACACAUAUGUAUAUGGCAAAGUUAAAUAGGGUCUACGCCCCACGUUGAGCGCCAAA